This 455-nucleotide ribosomal RNA is filed under the name uncultured bacterium. RNAcentral's name for it is "bacterial SSU rRNA". It matches the Rfam family "Bacterial small subunit ribosomal RNA", at positions 56 to 524 of the family's 1533-position model. The record is from RNAcentral.
UGCAGUCGAACGAUGAAGCCUGGCUUGCUGGGUGGAUUAGUGGCGAACGGGUGAGUAACACGUGAGCAACCUGCCCCUAACUCUGGGAUAAGCGCUGGAAACCGCGUCUAAUACUGGAUAUGUCCCAUCACCGCAUGGUGUGUGGGUGGAAAGAUUUUUCGGUUGGGGAUGGGCUCGCGGCCUAUCAGCUUGUUGGUGAGGUAAUGGCUCACCAAGGCGUCGACGGGUAGCCGGCCUGAGAGGGUGACCGGCCACACUGGGACUGAGACACGGCCCAGACUCCUACGGGAGGCAGCAGUGGGGAAUAUUGCACAAUGGGCGGAAGCCUGAUGCAGCAACGCCGCGUGAGGGAUGACGGCCUUCGGGUUGUAAACCUCUUUUAGCAGGGAAGAAGCGAGAGUGACGGUACCUGCAGAAAAAGCACCGGCUAACUACGUGCCAGCAGCCGCGGUAAU